UGCCCGGUGGUGUAGUGGUAGCACAAAGGACUUUGGCUCCUUUGACCGAGGUUCGAAUCCUCGCCGGGCAGCCA
Molecule: transfer RNA, 74 nt
Filed under: Chloroflexota bacterium
Lineage: Bacteria; Bacillati; Chloroflexota
Description: Chloroflexi bacterium tRNA-Gln
Rfam family: tRNA
About the family: Transfer RNA (tRNA) molecules are approximately 80 nucleotides in length. Their secondary structure includes four short double-helical elements and three loops (D, anti-codon, and T loops). Further hydrogen bonds mediate the characteristic L-shaped molecular structure. tRNAs have two regions of fundamental functional importance: the anti-codon, which is responsible for specific mRNA codon recognition, and the 3' end, to which the tRNAs corresponding amino acid is attached (by aminoacyl-tRNA synthetases). tRNAs cope with the degeneracy of the genetic code in two manners: having more than one tRNA (with a specific anti-codon) for a particular amino acid; and 'wobble' base-pairing, i.e. permitting non-standard base-pairing at the 3rd anti-codon position.
Source: RNAcentral